RNAcentral lists this unclassified non-coding RNA (229 nucleotides) under Hevea brasiliensis (rubber tree). Lineage: Eukaryota; Viridiplantae; Streptophyta; Magnoliopsida; Malpighiales; Euphorbiaceae. The record is from RNAcentral.
UUUCUUUGGUGCUGUUAGGUUACUACUAAAGAGACUUGUGACUGAAACAGUCAUGAUUUGGAACACCUUACUUGUUAAAAAAUUCAACCCUGUACUCCAUCUCCUUCUCAGCCAUGCCAAAAAUCUGCUCUGCGUCCACUUCUCUUGGUAAAUUAUUAGCAGCCAUCAUUACAGAGCGAUAAAAAAUGAUCUUGUGCUUUUUUUCGUAUUUGAGAGAGGGGGAGAUGAA